AAUUAUCAACUCUGAAAACUUUCGAGUUCUCAGUGCUUGGACUUGGAGUGUGUCGGGCCCUUUCUCGGGUUCGACUCCUCUUGAAAUGUAUAUGCGGAACCCUUUGAUCGCAGAGCAGCUCCAGCGUGAUAAUUAUCUACGUUGCGGCAGCUGUGUGAUUGGAUCUGCCUACAACCGUUGCAGACUUUUGCAACAGGGGCUCGCCCCUAACUUUGACA
Molecule: unclassified non-coding RNA, 218 nt
Filed under: Arrhenia retiruga
Lineage: Eukaryota; Fungi; Basidiomycota; Agaricomycetes; Agaricales; Hygrophoraceae
Description: partial internal transcribed spacer 2
Source: RNAcentral